This 253-nucleotide ribosomal RNA is filed under the name uncultured bacterium. RNAcentral's name for it is "partial 16S ribosomal RNA". It matches the Rfam family "Bacterial small subunit ribosomal RNA", at positions 524 to 776 of the family's 1533-position model. The record is from RNAcentral.
UACGUAGGGUCCGAGCGUUGUCCGGAAUUACUGGGCGUAAAGAGCUCGUAGGUGGUUUGUCGCGUCUGCUGUGAAAACCCGAGGCUCAACCUCGGGCCUGCAGUGGGUACGGGCAGACUAGAGUGCGGUAGGGGAGAUUGGAAUUCCUGGUGUAGCGGUGGAAUGCGCAGAUAUCAGGAGGAACACCAAUGGCGAAGGCAGCUCGCUGGAACGGUACUGACGCUGAGACGCGAAAGCGUGGGGAGCAAACAGG